UCAGAUGGUGUUUCUGCUUUGGUGCUAAGCCU
RNAcentral lists this non-coding RNA (32 nucleotides) under Rattus norvegicus (Norway rat). The record is from RNAcentral. Lineage: Eukaryota; Metazoa; Chordata; Mammalia; Rodentia; Muridae.